CCUACGGUGUGCAGCAGUGGGGAAUAUUGGACAAUGGGCGAAAGCCUGAUCCAGCCAUGCCGCGUGUGUGAAGAAGGCCUUCGGGUUGUAAAGCACUUUCAGUGGGGAAGAAAGCCUUGGGGCUAAUACCCUCGAGGAAGGACAUCACCCACAGAAGAAGCACCGGCUAACUCCGUGCCAGCAGCCGCAGGUAAUACGGAGGGUGCGAGCGUUAAUCGGAAUUACUGGGCGUAAAGCGCGCGUAGGCGGUCUGAUAAGCCGUUUGUGAAAGCCCCGGGCUCAACCUGGGAACGGCAUCCGGAACUGUCAGGCUAGAGUGCAGGAGAGGAAGGUAGAAUUCCCGGUGUAGCGGUGAAAUGCGUAGAGAUCGGGAGGAAUACCAGUGGCGAAGGCGGCCUUCUGGACUGACACUGACGCUGAGGUGCGAAAGCGUGGGUAGCAAACAGGAUUAGAUACCCGGGUAGUC
RNAcentral lists this ribosomal RNA (466 nucleotides) under Vreelandella stevensii. RNAcentral's name for it is "partial 16S ribosomal RNA". It matches the Rfam family "Bacterial small subunit ribosomal RNA", at positions 338 to 795 of the family's 1533-position model. The record is from RNAcentral. Lineage: Bacteria; Pseudomonadati; Pseudomonadota; Gammaproteobacteria; Oceanospirillales; Halomonadaceae.